UACGUAGGGGCGAGCGUUAUCCGGAAUUAUUGGGCGUAAAGAGUGCGUAGGUGGUCUUGUAAGCGUGGGGUGAAAGGCAGUGGCUUAACCAUUGUUAGCCUUGCGAACUGUGAGACUUGAGUGCAGGAGAGGAAAGUGGAAUUCCUAGUGUAGCGGUGAAAUGCGUAGAUAUUAGGAGGAACACCAGUGGCGAAGGCGACUUUCUGGACUGUAACUGACACUGAGGCACGAAAGCGUGGGGAGCAAACAGGAUUAGAUACCCUGGUAGU
This 269-nucleotide ribosomal RNA is filed under the name uncultured prokaryote. Its description in RNAcentral is "partial 16S ribosomal RNA". It matches the Rfam family "Bacterial small subunit ribosomal RNA", at positions 524 to 794 of the family's 1533-position model. The record is from RNAcentral.